AGAGUUUGAUCAUGGCUCAGAACGUACGCUGGCGGCACGCCUAAUACAUGCAAGUCGAACGAAGUAGCAAUACUUAGUGGCAGACGGGUGAGUAACAUGUAGGUAUCUACCCCAUGGCCUGGAAUAACACGAGGAAACUUGUGCUAAUACUGGAUAAGUCUUUACGGAGAAAGCUUUAUGCACCAUUGGAUGAGCCUGCACUUGAUUAGUUUGUUGGUAGGGUAAUGGCCUACCAAGACUUUGAUCAAUAGCUGAUUUGAGAGGAUGAUCAGCCACAUUGGGACUGAGACACGGCCCAAACUCCUACGGGAGGCAGCAGUGGGGAAUCUUGCACAAUGGAGGAAACUCUGAUGCAGCGAUGCCGCGUGAGUGAAGAAGGCCCUUGGGUUGUAAAGCUCUUUCGUCGGGGAAGAAAAUGACUGUACCCGAAUAAGAAGGUCCGGCUAACUUCGUGCCAGCCGCCGCGGU
Molecule: ribosomal RNA, 468 nt
Filed under: uncultured bacterium
Lineage: Bacteria
Description: bacterial SSU rRNA
Rfam family: Bacterial small subunit ribosomal RNA
Source: RNAcentral